Molecule: ribosomal RNA, 301 nt
Filed under: uncultured bacterium
Lineage: Bacteria
Description: partial 16S ribosomal RNA
Rfam family: Bacterial small subunit ribosomal RNA
Source: RNAcentral
CAGUAGCCGCGGGAAUACGUAGGUGGCAAGCGUUGUCCGGAAUUAUUGGGCGUAAAGGGCUCGCAGGCGGUUUCUUAAGUCUGAUGUGAAAGCCCCCGGCUCAACCGGGGAGGGUCAUUGGAAACUGGGAAACUUGAGUGCAGAAGAGGAGAGUGGAAUUCCACGUGUAGCGGUGAAAUGCGUAGAGAUGUGGAGGAACACCAGUGGCGAAGGCGACUCUCUGGUCUGUAACUGACGCUGAGGAGCGAAAGCGCGGGGAGCGAACAGGAUUAGAUACCCGUGUAGUCCCUGUCUCUUAUAC